This 72-nucleotide microRNA precursor is filed under the name Bombyx mori (domestic silkworm). RNAcentral describes it as "mir-2774 microRNA precursor family". It matches the Rfam family "mir-2774 microRNA precursor family". Lineage: Eukaryota; Metazoa; Arthropoda; Insecta; Lepidoptera; Bombycidae. The record is from Rfam by way of RNAcentral.
GCAACAUUCAGACCGUCGCGUCGGUCUACCGAGCAAAAUCCCCCGCUCCGUGGAAGAUUAUCCCUUCGUCGU